AUGCCAGAAGGGAUAAAUGAUACGGCGAUCGUCCUCAUCCCGAAAGUUCCUUACCCCAAGGAGCUCAAAGACUUUAGGCCGAUCAGCCUCUGCAAUGUUAUUUACAAGUUGGUAUCUAAAUGUUUGGUUAACCGGCUCCGUCCUUGUCUGUCGGAGUUGAUUUCUGAGAAUCAAAGUGCUUUUAUUGCGGGCCGGCUCAUCUCGGGUAAUUCUAUUAUUGCUUUUGAGUGCAUCCAUCACAUACAAUCUGUGAAGAACACCAGUCGGGCGGCAUGUGCGUACAAACUCGAUCUCUCAAAGGCGUAUGAUCGGGUCGAUUGGGACUUUCUGGAGAAGGCGCUCUGUAGAUGGGGCUUCUCGGAGCAGUGGAUUGCUUGGAUAGUGUCUUGCGUUAAAUCUGUCCGGUAUUCGGUUAAACUGAAUGGGAAACUACUGGAGGUUUUCUCACCUUGGCGUGGCCUUCGUCAAGGUGACCCAUUGUCUCUGUUCUUGUUUCUCUUUGUUGCUGAUGCGUUAUCUGCUCUUCUAUCUAAAUCAGUGAGCGAAGGUAGCUUGAACGGGGUGAGCAUCUGUCGGGGUGCACCGGUGAUUUCUCAUCUCCUCUUUGCGGAUGAUACAUUGCUAUUUUUUGAAGCUUCAGGCCAGCAAGCGGAUGUUGUUAAGGGUUUGUUGAACACUUAUUCCUCGCGUCAACUUAUAAACCCCGAGAAGUGUUCCAUCCUUUUUUCUGACAACUGCGGUGGGCAAGUCGUGGAUGAGAUCAAGAAUAUAUUGGAGGUGACGCAGCAGGUUUUCGAACCAAAGUAUCUUGGACUCCUAGUCCCGGAAGAGAGAGUGCACAAGGGGCAAUUUGAGACAUUGCAAGAUAGAUUGAGGAAAAUUCUUAUUGAUUGGAGUGAACAAUAUAUCUCAGUUGGAAAUAAAGAGAUUCUGAUCAAGGCAGUGGCUCAGGCAAUUCCCACCUAUGUAAUGAGUGCGUUCAAAUUGCCGGCGUCAGUGUGUGAUGAUCUUACCAAGAUGAUGCGGCAAUAUUGGUGGGGCGUGGAAAAUGGUAAAAGAAAGAUGGCAUGGUUAAGCUGGGAAAGGAUGAUGCUACCCAAAGCAAUGGGGGGCAUGGGAUUCCGAGACAUGAGGGCGUUUAACCAAGCCCUGCUGGCCAAGCAGGCUUGGCGCCUCUUGGAUAGCCCAGAUAGCCUUUGUGCGAGAUUACUUAAGGCCAAAUAUUACCCUAGGGGAAGUUUACUUGACACUGUUUUCUCGACGAACAGUUCAGCGGUCUGA
Molecule: ribosomal RNA, 1281 nt
Filed under: Triticum aestivum (bread wheat)
Lineage: Eukaryota; Viridiplantae; Streptophyta; Magnoliopsida; Poales; Poaceae
Description: partial small subunit ribosomal RNA
Source: RNAcentral